UGGGGAAUAUUGCACAAUGGGGGAAACCCUGAUGCAGCGACGCCGCGUGGAGGAAGAAGGUCUUCGGAUUGUAAACUCCUGUUGUUGAGGAAGAUAAUGACGGUACUCAACAAGGAAGUGACGGCUAACUACGUGCCAGCAGCCGCGGUAAAACGUAGGUCACAAGCGUUGUCCGGAAUUACUGGGUGUAAAGGGAGCGCAGGCGGGAAAACAAGUUGGAAGUGAAAUCCAUGGGCUCAACCCAUGAACUGCUUUCAAAACUGUUUUUCUUGAGUAGUGCAGAGGUAGGCGGAAUUCCCGGUGUAGCGGUGGAAUGCGUAGAUAUCGGGAGGAACACCAGUGGCGAAGGCGGCCUACUGGGCAUCAACUGACGCUGAGGCUCGAAAGUGUGGGUAGCAAACAGGAUUAGAUACCCUGGUAGUCCACACCGUAAACGAUGAUUACUAGGUGUUGGAGGAUUGACCCCUUCAGUGCCGCAGUUAACACAAUAAGUAAUCCACCUGGGGAGUACGACCGCAAGGUUGAAACUCAAAGGAAUUGACGGGGGCCCGCACAAGCAGUGGAGUAUGUGGUUUAAUUCGACGCAACGCGAAGAACCUUACCAAGUCUUGACAUCCCUUGACGAUGCUGGAAACAGCAUUUCUCUUCGGAGCAAGGAGACAGGUGGUGCAUGGUUGUCGUCAGCUCGUGUCGUGAGAUGUUGGGUUAAGUCCCGCAACGAGCGCAACCCUUAUGGUCAGUUACUACGCAAGAGGACUCUGGCCAGACUGCCGUUGACAAAACGGAGGAAGGUGGGGAUGACGUCAAAUCAUCAUGCCCUUUAUGACUUGGGCUACACACGUACUACAAUGGCGUUAAACAAAGAGAAGCAAGACCGCGAGGUGGAGCAAAACUCAGAAACAACGUCCCAGUUCGAACUGCAGGCUGCAACUCGCCUGCACGAAGUCGGAAUUGCUAGUAAUCGUGGAUCAGCAUGCCACGGUGAAUACGUUCCC
RNAcentral lists this ribosomal RNA (995 nucleotides) under uncultured bacterium. RNAcentral describes it as "bacterial SSU rRNA". It matches the Rfam family "Bacterial small subunit ribosomal RNA", at positions 355 to 1375 of the family's 1533-position model. The record is from RNAcentral.